This 468-nucleotide ribosomal RNA is filed under the name uncultured bacterium. RNAcentral's name for it is "partial 16S ribosomal RNA". It matches the Rfam family "Bacterial small subunit ribosomal RNA", at positions 28 to 507 of the family's 1533-position model. The record is from RNAcentral.
GACGAACGCUGGCGGCGUGCUUAACACAUCCAAGUCGAACGGAGAGGCUCUGCUUUUGUGGGGUGCUCGAGUGGCGAACGGGUGAGUAACACGUGAGUAACCUGCCCUUGACUUUGGGAUAACUUCAGGAAACUGGGGCUAAUACCGGAUAGGAGCUCCUGCUGCAUGGUGGGGGUUGGAAAGUUUCGGCGGUUGGGGAUGGACUCGCGGCUUAUCAGCUUGUUGGUGGGGUAGUGGCUUACCAAGGCUUUGACGGGUAGCCGGCCUGAGAGGGUGACCGGCCACAUUGGGACUGAGAUACGGCCCAGACUCCUACGGGAGGCAGCAGUGGGGAAUAUUGCACAAUGGGCGGAAGCCUGAUGCAGCAACGCCGCGUGCGGGAUGACGGCCUUCGGGUUGUAAACCGCUUUCGCCUGUGACGAAGCGUGAGUGACGGUAAUGGGUAAAGAAGCACCGGCUAACUACGUG